GACGAACGCUGGCGGCGUGCUUAACACAUGCAAGUCGAACGGUGAACCACUUCGGUGGGGAUCAGUGGCGAACGGGUGAGUAACACGUGGGCAACCCGCCCUUAGCUCUGGGAUAACCCCGGGAAACCGGGGCGUAAUACCGGAUACGACCUCGAGCGGCAUCACUCGAGGUGGAAAGAACUUCGGCUAAGGAUGGGCCCGCGGCCUAUCAGCUUGUUGGUGGGGUAACGGCCUACCAAGGCGACGACGGGUAGCCGGCCNGAGAGGGCGACCGGCCACACUGGGACUGAGACACGGCCCAGACUCCUACGGGAGGGCAGCAGUGGGGAAUAUUGCGCAAUGGGCGAAAGCCUGACGCAGCGACGCCGCGUGAGGGACGAAGGCC
RNAcentral lists this ribosomal RNA (385 nucleotides) under uncultured bacterium. RNAcentral's name for it is "bacterial SSU rRNA". It matches the Rfam family "Bacterial small subunit ribosomal RNA", at positions 28 to 416 of the family's 1533-position model. The record is from RNAcentral.